GACGAACGCUGGCGGCGUGCUUAACACAUGCAAGUCGAACGGAAAGGCCCUGCUUUUGUGGGGUGCUCGAGUGGCGAACGGGUGAGUAACACGUGAGUAACCUGCCCUUGACUUUGGGAUAACUUCAGGAAACUGGGGCUAAUACCGGAUAGGAGCUCCUGCUGCAUGGUGGGGGUUGGAAAGUUUCGGCGGUUGGGGAUGGACUCGCGGCUUAUCAGCUUGUUGGUGGGGUAGUGGCUUACCAAGGCUUUGACGGGUAGCCGGCCUGAGAGGGUGACCGGCCACAUUGGGACUGAGGGAGGGCGCAGACUCGUACGGGAGGCAGCGGUGGGGAGUAUUGCACAGUGGGCGGGAGCGUGAUGCAGCAGCGCCGCGUGCGGGAUGACGGCCUUCGGGUUGUGAACCGCUUUCGCCUGUGACGAAGCGUGAGUGACGGUAAUGGGUAAAGAAGCACCGGCUAACUACGUG
Molecule: ribosomal RNA, 468 nt
Filed under: uncultured bacterium
Lineage: Bacteria
Description: partial 16S ribosomal RNA
Rfam family: Bacterial small subunit ribosomal RNA
Source: RNAcentral